GCUGGGUAUGGUGGUCCACACCUGUCAUCCCAGUGGCUUGGGAGGCUGAGGCAGGAGGAUCGCUGGUUGGAGGCCAGCCUCUGCAACCCAGCAAGGCCCUGAGCAGCUCAGCGAGACCCUGUCUCUG
Molecule: small RNA, 127 nt
Filed under: Marmota monax (woodchuck)
Lineage: Eukaryota; Metazoa; Chordata; Mammalia; Rodentia; Sciuridae
Source: RNAcentral